RNAcentral lists this non-coding RNA (30 nucleotides) under Mus musculus (house mouse). The record is from RNAcentral. Lineage: Eukaryota; Metazoa; Chordata; Mammalia; Rodentia; Muridae.
UGGUAGGUAGAAGCAAACUAGUAUACUUGU